CAGUAGCCACGGUAAUACGUAGGUGGCAAGCGUUGUCCGGAAUUAUUGGGCGUAAAGGGCUCGCAGGCGGUUUCUUAAGUCUGAUGUGAAAGCCCCCGGCUCAACCGAGGAGGGUCAUUGGAAACUGGGAAACUUGAGUGCAGAAGAGGAGAGUGGAGUUCCACGUGUAGCGGUGAAAUGCGUAGAGAUGUGGAGGAACACCAGUGGCGAAGGCGACUCUCUGUCUGUAACUGACGCUGAGGAGCGAAAGCGUGGGGAGCGAACAGGAUUAGAUACCCCAGUAGUCCCUGUCUCUUAUACA
Molecule: ribosomal RNA, 301 nt
Filed under: uncultured bacterium
Lineage: Bacteria
Description: partial 16S ribosomal RNA
Rfam family: Bacterial small subunit ribosomal RNA
Source: RNAcentral